Molecule: ribosomal RNA, 253 nt
Filed under: uncultured bacterium
Lineage: Bacteria
Description: partial 16S ribosomal RNA
Rfam family: Bacterial small subunit ribosomal RNA
Source: RNAcentral
UACGUAGGGGGCAAGCGUUAUCCGGAUUUACUGGGUGUAAAGGGAGCGUAGGCGGCUUAGUAAGUCAGAAGUGAAAGCCCGCAGCUCAACUGCGGGACUGCUUUUGAAACUGCCAGGCUAGAGUGUCGGAGAGGUAAGUGGAAUUCCUAGUGUAGCGGUGAAAUGCGUAGAUAUUAGGAGGAACACCAGUGGCGAAGGCGGCUUACUGGACGAUGACUGACGCUGAGGCUCGAAAGCGUGGGGAGCAAACAGG